AGUGAACGCUGGCGGUAGGCCUAACACAUGCAAGUCGAACGGCAGCACAGUAAGAGCUUGCUCUUACGGGUGGCGAGUGGCGGACGGGUGAGGAAUACAUCGGAAUCUACUUUUUCGUGGGGGAUAACGUAGGGAAACUUACGCUAAUACCGCAUACGACCUACGGGUGAAAGCAGAGGAUCUUCGGACCUUGCGCGAUUGAAUGAGCCGAUGUCGGAUUAGCUAGUUGGCGGGGUAAAGGCCCACCAAGGCGACGAUCCGUAGCUGGUCUGAGAGGAUGAUCGGCCACCCUGGAACGGAGACACGGUCCAGACUCCUACGGGAGGCAGCAGUGGGGAAUAUUGGACAAUGGGCGCAAGCCUGAUCCAGCCAUACCGCGUGGGUGAAGAAGGCCUUCGGGUUGUAAAGCCCUUUUGUUGGGAAAGAAAAGCAGCAGGUUAAUACCCCGCUGUUCUGACGGUACCCAAAGAAUAAGCACCGGCUAACUUCGUG
RNAcentral lists this ribosomal RNA (492 nucleotides) under uncultured bacterium. RNAcentral's name for it is "partial 16S ribosomal RNA". It matches the Rfam family "Bacterial small subunit ribosomal RNA", at positions 29 to 507 of the family's 1533-position model. The record is from RNAcentral.